This 21-nucleotide microRNA is filed under the name Schistosoma mansoni. RNAcentral's name for it is "sma-miR-8479-5p". The record is from miRBase by way of RNAcentral. Lineage: Eukaryota; Metazoa; Platyhelminthes; Trematoda; Strigeidida; Schistosomatidae.
CCCAGUGUUGAUAUUCAUUUU